Molecule: ribosomal RNA, 207 nt
Filed under: uncultured bacterium
Lineage: Bacteria
Description: partial 16S ribosomal RNA
Rfam family: Bacterial small subunit ribosomal RNA
Source: RNAcentral
UGCGUAGGCGGCCUGAUAAGUCAGAGGUGAAAGCCCACCGCUUAACGGUGGAAUUGCCCCUGAUACUGUUGGGCUUGAGUUAGGUUGAGGUUGGCGGAAUGUGACAUGUAGCGGUGAAAUGCAUAGAUAUGUCAUAGAACACCAAUUGCGAAGGCAGCUGACUGGACCUAUACUGACGCUGAGGCACGAAAGCGUGGGGAGCGAACA